This 785-nucleotide long non-coding RNA is filed under the name Sorghum bicolor (sorghum). Its description in RNAcentral is "long non-coding RNA (SBIC_LNC002305)". Lineage: Eukaryota; Viridiplantae; Streptophyta; Magnoliopsida; Poales; Poaceae. The record is from RNAcentral.
CUGACCAUAUAUUGAAAUUGAAUAAACUAAAAGGAAAAGAAGAAACGUGAGUAUAUAUGUACUUGUGAAUAAAGGAGAAUAGGGAUAGACUGGUAGGACAGCAGCCAGGCUGAGCAGUUCAGUCUUCGAGUCGCGCUAGGAUUCAGAUUUCAGAGUGUCUGCUGGGCUGCUGCUUUGAGUUUGCCGAUGUCGGAGUCUGAUGGCCGUGCCCGGCGGCAGUUUCGCGGCCGUCAAGUUAUCAUCUGACCCCACGAUUUUACGCACGCACGCGAGAGACGGAAAGGAUACGACGGGCGGUAGACGAACAGACGGCGCCACGAGGGAAUCAGGAAGGUUGCGAGCGAAUGAAGUCAGUCCUGACUCUACGCCUUCGUUGUGCCGAGCGGAGGGACCAGUCUGUAGCUCCACCCCUCUUCGCCAGGCCCUUAGACAAGAGUGGACGCCCACACACAUAUAGAUAAAAACGGACCAGGUAUGUAAGUGAUGAUAUUAUCAUCUGAUACCAUAUUUAUAUCUGAAUCUUUAAAUCAUGUAUUUAUAAUGUUAACAUCUAAUUAUAACCUAUCCAGCAUGUGUGACUAUCCAAAUUUGAUUAGAAAUAAGAAAAAAAAAUAAUAUUAAUCAUACCCCUUCAUAUUCGAUCCGUUUUCAUCCCGACCCAUAGGAAGAAAACAUAUUUCCACUGCUAAAAUCUACGUUCCCAUAAAAUAAGUACGUACCUCCUUAAAUUUACUCUACCUCUGUCACCUGCGUUACCAUAACUAGGUGAAUUUUCCGCGCGUUGC